UACGGAGGAUGCGAGCGUUAUCCGGAUUUAUUGGGUUUAAAGGGUGCGUAGGCGGGCUAUUAAGUCAGUGGUGAAAUCCCGGGGCUCAACCUCGGAACUGCCAUUGAUACUAUUAGCCUUGAAUUAUGUUGAGGUUGGCGGAAUAUAACAUGUAGCGGUGAAAUGCUUAGAUAUGUUAUGGAACACCGAUUGCGAAGGCAGCUGGCUAAACAUAUAUUGACGCUGAUGCACGAAAGUGUGGGUAGCGAACAGG
This 253-nucleotide ribosomal RNA is filed under the name uncultured Bacteroidota bacterium. RNAcentral describes it as "uncultured Bacteroidetes bacterium partial 16S ribosomal RNA". It matches the Rfam family "Bacterial small subunit ribosomal RNA", at positions 524 to 776 of the family's 1533-position model. Lineage: Bacteria; Pseudomonadati; Bacteroidota. The record is from RNAcentral.